CCCCUCUUGGGACUGCUUCUGGAGAGUUUCCAGUACUCUACUGGUCUCGGUUAUGGGAGGGAGAGUAAAGCAGAGGCAUACCCAUUCCAUUCCUGGCUUGAGCAGUGGCUAGUGAGUAGAAGGCCAUCUGCUUCACGU
Ornithorhynchus anatinus (platypus) is the source of this 138-nucleotide small nucleolar RNA. The record is from RefSeq and is a predicted model, not a curated record. Lineage: Eukaryota; Metazoa; Chordata; Mammalia; Monotremata; Ornithorhynchidae.